GAUGAACGCUGGCGGCGUGCUUAACACAUGCCAGUCGAACGGAAAGGCCACAGCUUGCUGUGGUACUCGAGUGGCGAACGGGUGAGUAACACGUGGGUGAUCUGCCCUGUACUUCGGGAUAAGCUUGGGAAACUGGGUCUAAUACCGGAUAGGAAUCACAUGUGGGUGUGUGGUUGGAAAGCUUUUGCGGUAUGGGAUGAGCUCGCGGCCUAUCAGCUUGUUGGUGGGGUAAUGGCCUACCAAGGCGUCGACGGGUAGCCGGCCUGAGAGGGUGUACGGCCACAUUGGGACUGAGAUACGGCCCAGACUCCUACGGGAGGCAGCAGUGGGGAAUAUUGCACAAUGGGCGCAAGCCUGAUGCAGCGACGCCGCGUGGGGGAUGACGGCCUUCGGGUUGUAAACUCCUUUCGUCAGGGACGAAGCGAAAGUGACGGUACCUGGAUAAGAAGCACCGGCUAACUACGUG
Molecule: ribosomal RNA, 466 nt
Filed under: uncultured bacterium
Lineage: Bacteria
Description: partial 16S ribosomal RNA
Rfam family: Bacterial small subunit ribosomal RNA
Source: RNAcentral